This 433-nucleotide ribosomal RNA is filed under the name uncultured bacterium. RNAcentral's name for it is "partial 16S ribosomal RNA". It matches the Rfam family "Bacterial small subunit ribosomal RNA", at positions 29 to 507 of the family's 1533-position model. The record is from RNAcentral.
AACGAACGCUGGCGGCAUGCCUAACACAUGCAAGUCGAACGAGACCUUCGGGUCUAGUGGCGCACGGGCGCGUAACGCGUGGGAACCUGCCUUUAGGUUCGGAAUAACUCAGAGAAAUUUGAGCUAAUACCGGAUGAUGUCUUCGGACCAAAGAUUUAUCGCCUUUAGAUGGGCCCGCGUUGGAUUAGCUAGUUGGUGGGGUAAAGGCCUACCAUGGCGACGAUCCAUAGCUGGUCUGAGAGGAUGAUCAGCCACACUGGGACUGAGACACGGCCCAGACUCCUACGGGAGGCAGCAGUGGGGAAUAUUGGACAAUGGGCGAAAGCCUGAUCCAGCAAUGCCGCGUGAGUGAUGAAGGCCUUAGGGUUGUAAAGCUCUUUUACCCGAGAUGAUAAUGACAGUAUCGGGAGAAUAAGCUCCGGCUAACUCCGUG